ACAAACCCUAGUUACAUGGGCUCGAAUGGGCCAGUGCGGUCUAGCCCGAAAAAUAGAAAGUUAAGCCCGGUACAUUGCAAUAACUUGCCCAGUUGCAGAGUGGGCCUCCGUUUCUAGAGGCGAGGCGAGAAAUGUCGCCCUCCGUCUCCGCCGCCGUUCUCCGCCGCCUCGGCGACCGGCUCGGCCUCCGCCGACUCGCCACGCUCCCCGACUACGCGGCCGGCGCCGAUGAGCUGCCGCAGCACCCCACCUCCAAGGACGCCUACUUCGCGGCGGUCAACCACCUCUCCACCAUCGUACGGCGCGACUUCUACCUGGAGCGCACCCUGAACCGCCUCCGCCUGCCGUCCCCCUUCCCGCCGGACCUCGCGCUCCGCGUCAUCCGCGCCGCUGCCCCCUCCGAGCCCCUCCACGCCGCCCGCUUCCUCGCGUGGCUCCGGGCGAAGCCCAAUUUCUCCCCCUCCGCCGAUCACUUCGACGCGCUGCUCCUCCCGCUCGCCCGCGCGCGCCUCUUCACCCACCUCUGGACCCAGGCCUCCGACAUGCGCGCGCUCGGCCUCCCCCUCUCUCCGGCAACCUUUUCGGCGGUGAUCUCGUCCUACGGCCACUCCCGCCUCGCUGAGCAGGCCGUCGAGGUCUUCAAUCGCCUUCCCCACUUCGGGUGCCCGCAGACCACCGAGGUCUACAACGCCCUUCUGGACGCGCUCUGCGCCAACGGCAACUUUGCCGGCGCCUACAAGCUGCUCCGCCGCAUGGCGCGCAAGGGCGUGGCCCCCGACCGCGCCACGUUCAGCACGCUCGUCGACGCCUGGUGCGCGUCGGGGAAGCUCCGGGAGGCGCAGGCGUUCCUCGACGACAUGUCGUCCCGCGGGUUCCGGCCGCCGGUGCGCGGCCGGGACCUCCUCGUCGACGGGCUCGUCCGAGCUGGGCGCCUGGAGGAAGCCAAGGCAUUCGCCCUCCGCAUCACCAAGGAGGGCGUCCUUCCCGACGUGGCCACGUUCAACUCGCUCGCCCAGGCGCUUUGCGAUGCUGGUGAUGUGGAAUUCGCCGUGGGUCUUCUUGCCGAUGCUUCCAGUCGUGGCAUGUGCCCAGAUAUCUCAACUUACAAAGUGAUGCUACCGGCCGUGGCCAAGGCUGGCCGAAUUGAGGAGGCAUUCCGAUUGUUCUAUGCGGCUAUUGAGGAUGGCCACCGGCCCUUCCCAAGUCUAUAUGCGGCGAUCGUCAAGGCGCUCUGCAAGGCAGGUCGUUUCGCUGAUGCUUUCGCCUUUUUUGGUGAUAUGAAGUCCAAGGGGCACCCACCCAAUCGGCCUGUGUAUGUGAUGCUUGUCAAAAUGUGUGUGAGAGGUGGUCGGUUCUUGGAUGCUGCAAACUACCUUCUUGAGAUGAGUGAGGCUGGGUUCGCGCCACGGGCGCCAACCUUUAACGUUGUAGUCGAUGGGCUGCGGCAUCUUGGGAAACAUGACCUAGCCCGGAGGAUGGAGCAGCUUGAGAUGUCACUAAAAGGAAACUGAAUGGAUCCGGAAGUAGAUGCGGUCUAGUGGGGCGCUGCGAAUUGCUUGGUAAAGUUUCUGAAUUACUAGUGUAGGUUCACAAGAAAAGUAGUGGUGGAGUAGGCACUAAGUUCAGAAGAAUGUAAGUUUUGUGGUUGCAUAGAUAAGAUUAUUGAAAUAUCCAUGGUCCAUUGGUGUUUGAUCAGGUGUUUUCACUGUUCAAUUUAGCACCAACUCUGUGCUCCAUGAUAAUUCAGUAUAAAGAUUGGAGCCAUGCUACCUUGUAUGAUUUAAAAGUGUAUUGUUGAGAUGUCACUAGAAGGAAACUGAAUGAAUCGGGAAGUAGAUGCUGUCUAGUGGGGUGCUGUGAAUUGCAUGGUAAAGGUUCUGAAUUUUCAGGUAGGAUUCCUGUCUUCUGAUUGUAUCCUGUGACAUAAACCAAUGUUAUGCUGUUGGACUGUUGGAUAUGCUGGUCGAGUGAUUUGUUUGUUUUGGGUAGGAAGGAUCAAUGAAUAAGAUCAUUGGAUAGCCUCAACUAAUGUGGUCAAAUUUGUGUAGUGAAGGUUAACAAGAAGAGUAGUGGUGGAGUAUGCAGUAAGUUGAGUGGAAUUUAAGUGUUGUGGUUGCAUAGAUUAGAUUUUGAAAUACCCACUGCCCCAUCGGUGUUUGACCAAGUGGACCAGGUGCUUUCACUGUUGAAUUUAGAACCAACUCUGUGAUCCAUGAGAAUUCAUGUAGAAUAAAGAUUGGAGCCAUGAUACCUUGUACGAUUUGAGAUCGCGUUGUAGAGAUAGGGCUGACUACUGAUAUUGUGUGCUGAAACCUCAAGGCAAAUCACUUACCAUUGCAAGGUUGAGGUCCCUGUGUUGUCUUCUGGACAAAAGAACAACACAGUAUGAGUCUUAAUGGGGGAGAUUUCAAUUUUUUGAGAUUGACAGUGCUCCGCCUUUUUGUAGAAUGCACAUUUGCGGAGACAAAGUGAUACUGAAAAUGGUUAGCUGUUUGAAGUGUUCAAAUCAGUUUAUGGUGGAAGUGUUUCGUUGGCCAUGCAUCAGUUUUAACUUUUAAGAUAGUUUGGUAGUACAUUGCAAUUGAUUCAUAUAUGUCCUGCACCACAGCACCGACACUCUUCUUUAAGGAUGAACAAUGUGAGAAUGGCCCCUGUGAAUCAGCAUACUGCAUGAAAUGAUUGUUACUCGUCCUUUGUAAUGACUAUGAUGAAGGUUGUUCUGCUUCUGCAUAGCUGUUGGUUGUUGCUUUAUGUUUUUUCCUUCCUUUUUUUGUGUGCAGUGUUUCAACUUUGCCCUUCGUGAGCAUCAGAUACUCGAUUGGCAUGCAGAAUUGGACUUACCUUACAGUGUCCUAAUACCUUCUGACAAGGAACCAUCCGGGUGCACCCAACGAGAUCAAAGCUGAAUGAACCUAUGUUGUUACAUCAUGUGGCCAGAAUAGCCGGGCAUGCGGUGGCUCGACGUUCACAAGCUGAUUACAGGCUAUUGUGUCUCCUGAACAUACUACUGCAGAACUCAAGAACUCCCCAGUGAUUUGGGGAAGGAAUUUGCCUUGCGUUCGAUGGUCUGCCUUCUGUAUGGCGACAAACUACUGUCACGGCGGUGUUAGUAAGCGUAUGGGCACGACUGCAGAAGGGGGGAAUGCAGAGAUGUUUUGAAAUCAGGAGGUCAGCUAUGAACCUAUGACUGAUCACACCGCUGAGGAAUGCAAAUUCGAGAAGCUGAGGGAGGAGUUGAUGAUGAGAUACAACAUUGUCUUGCAUUUCAUAGACUGGGAAUCGAUUUUUUUUCUUGUGAAAAAACAUUGCUUAAUGUGAAUGUUGCAAUGAACUGAUAUACCUUGUCUUUUUUCCCGACCGAAGGUCUUUUGAAGAUGCAUACAUUGUUCAACUUUC
Triticum dicoccoides is the source of this 3396-nucleotide RNA transcript. It is a transcript of the gene named pentatricopeptide repeat-containing protein At5g18390, mitochondrial-like, with no coding region annotated. The transcript has 2 exons. The record is from RefSeq and is a predicted model, not a curated record. Lineage: Eukaryota; Viridiplantae; Streptophyta; Magnoliopsida; Poales; Poaceae.